CUCUUUCGGCCGGGAAGAAAUACGUGUUCUCUAACAUAGGACAUGGAUGACGUACCGGACUAAGAAGCACCGGCUAACUACGUGCCAGCAGCCGCGGUAAUACGUAGGGUGCGAGCGUUAAUCGGAAUUACUGGGCGUAAAGCGUGCGCAGGCGGUUUUGUAAGACAGAUGUGAAAUCCCCGGGCUUAACCUGGGAACUGCGUUUGUGACUGCAAGGCUAGAGUACGGCAGAGGGGGGUGGAAUUCCUGGUGUAGCAGUGAAAUGCGUAGAUAUCAGGAGGAACACCGAUGGCGAAGGCAGCCCCCUGGGCCUGUACUGACGCUCAUGCACGAAAGCGUGGGGAGCAAACAGGAUUAGAUACCCUGGUAGUCCACGCCCUAAACGAUGUCGACUAGUCGUUCGGAGCAGCAAUGCACUGAGUGACGCAGCUAACGCGUGAAGUCGACCGCCUGGGGAGUACGGCCGCAAGGUUAAAACUCAAAGGAAUUGACGGGGA
This 497-nucleotide ribosomal RNA is filed under the name uncultured bacterium. Its description in RNAcentral is "bacterial SSU rRNA". It matches the Rfam family "Bacterial small subunit ribosomal RNA", at positions 431 to 919 of the family's 1533-position model. The record is from RNAcentral.